GGUUGCGAUCAUACCAGCACUAAUGCACUGGAUCCCAUCAGAACUCCGUAGUUAAGCGUGCCUGGGCGAGAGUAGUACUAGGAUGGGUGACCCCCUGGGAAGUACUCGUGUUGCAACCCCCUUC
Molecule: ribosomal RNA, 124 nt
Filed under: Helianthus annuus (common sunflower)
Lineage: Eukaryota; Viridiplantae; Streptophyta; Magnoliopsida; Asterales; Asteraceae
Source: RNAcentral